GAUGAAGAACGCAGCGAAAUGCGAUAAGUAAUGUGAAUUGCAGAAUUCAGUGAAUCAUCGAAUCUUUGAACGCACAUUGCGCCCCCUGGUAUUCCGGGGGGCAUGCCUGUUCGAGCGUCAUUUCACCACUCAAGCCUCGCUUGGUAUUGGGCAUCGCGGUCCGCCGCGCGCCUCAAAUCGACCGGCUGGGUCUUCUGUCCCCUAAGCGUUGUGGAAACUAUUCGCUAAAGGGUGUUCGGGAGGCUACGCCGUAAAACAACCCCAUCUCUAAGGUUGACCUCGGGUCAGGUAGGGAUACCCGCUGAACUUAAGCAUAUCAAUAAGCGGAGGA
Molecule: unclassified non-coding RNA, 331 nt
Filed under: soil metagenome
Description: partial contains 5.8S ribosomal RNA, internal transcribed spacer 2, and large subunit ribosomal RNA
Rfam family: 5.8S ribosomal RNA (bases 1-120)
Source: RNAcentral